GAUGAAGAACGUAGCGAAAUGCGAUAAGUGAUGUGAAUUGCAGAAUUCAGUGAAUCAUCGAAUCUUUGAACGCACCUUGCGCCUUUUGGUAUUCCGAAAGGCACACCUGUUUGAGCGUCAUGAAUACCUCAAUCUCCAUCUUUUCUUCGGAUUGAUGGGUGACUUGGAUGUUGAGCCCUGCUGGUAUGCUAUAUCAGCUGGCUUUAAACUUAUUAGCCGGCUCUGUACUGGAUCGGUUUGACUCGACGUGAUAAUAUUAUCGUUGAGGAUGCAUGUCUCAUGCAGCCGGAAAGUAUCAAAGCAGCUUCUAGCUUGCCUUUAGUGCACUUUUACAUUUUAGACCUCAGAUCAGGUGGGACUACCCGCUGAACUUAAGCAUAUCAAUAAGCGGAGGA
Molecule: unclassified non-coding RNA, 395 nt
Filed under: soil metagenome
Description: partial contains 5.8S ribosomal RNA, internal transcribed spacer 2, and large subunit ribosomal RNA
Rfam family: 5.8S ribosomal RNA (bases 1-120)
Source: RNAcentral